RNAcentral lists this ribosomal RNA (228 nucleotides) under uncultured bacterium. Its description in RNAcentral is "partial 16S ribosomal RNA". It matches the Rfam family "Bacterial small subunit ribosomal RNA", at positions 568 to 795 of the family's 1533-position model. The record is from RNAcentral.
UGCGUAGGCGGACUAUUAAGUCAGAGGUGAAAUACUGCCGCUCAACGGUAGAAUUGCCUUUGAUACUGAUAGUCUUGAGUAUAGUUGAGGUAGGCGGAAUGUGUUGUGUAGCGGUGAAAUGCUUAGAUAUAACACAGAACACCGAUUGCGAAGGCAGCUUACUAAGCUAUUACUGACGCUGAUGCACGAAAGCGUGGGGAGCGAACAGGAUUAGAUACCCUGGUAGUC